GUGUCAUAUGAAAGGAGAGAAGUUUAGUGCUCCCUUUGAGAAAGCUGGAAGGGGCCCUCAGCCUGACACCACGCAUACAGUUAAGGCAUUGCCACCUACUUUGUGGCAUCAAAAGUAAAAUAUUUU
Small nuclear RNA from Aotus nancymaae (Ma's night monkey), 126 nucleotides. The record is from Ensembl. NCBI's taxonomy places the organism in Eukaryota, Metazoa, Chordata, Mammalia, Primates, Aotidae.